UUGAACGCUGGCGGCAUGCCUUACACAUGCAAGUCGAACGGCAGCACGGGUGCUUGCACCUGGUGGCGAGUGGCGAACGGGUGAGUAAUACAUCGGAACAUGUCCUGUAGUGGGGGAUAGCCCGGCGAAAGCCGGAUUAAUACCGCAUACGAUCCACGGAUGAAAGCGGGGGACCUUCGGGCCUCGCGCUAUAGGGUUGGCCGAUGGCUGAUUAGCUAGUUGGUGGGGUAAAGGCCUACCAAGGCGACGAUCAGUAGCUGGUCUGAGAGGACGACCAGCCACACUGGGACUGAGACACGGCCCAGACUCCUACGGGAGGCAGCAGUGGGGAAUUUUGGACAAUGGGCGAAAGCCUGAUCCAGCAAUGCCGCGUGUGUGAAGAAGGCCUUCAGGUUGUAAAGCACUUUUGUCCGGAAAGAAAUCCUUGGCUCUAAUACAGUCGGGGGAUGACGGUACCGGAAGAAUAAGCACCGGCUAACUACGUG
Molecule: ribosomal RNA, 485 nt
Filed under: uncultured bacterium
Lineage: Bacteria
Description: partial 16S ribosomal RNA
Rfam family: Bacterial small subunit ribosomal RNA
Source: RNAcentral